GAUGAACGCUGGCGGCGUGCUUAAUACAUGCAAGUCGAGCGAAUGGAUUAAGAGCUUGCUCUUAUGAAGUUAGCGGCGGACGGGUGAGUAACACGUGGGUAACCUGCCCAUAAGACUGGGAUAACUCCGGGAAACCGGGGCUAAUACCGGAUAACAUUUUGAACCGCAUGGUUCGAAAUUGAAAGGCGGCUUCGGCUGUCACUUAUGGAUGGACCCGCGUCGCAUUAGCUAGUUGGUGAGGUAACGGCUCACCAAGGCGACGAUGCGUAGCCGACCUAGGAGGGUGAUCGGCCACACUGGGACUGAGACACGGCCCAGACUCCUACGGGAGGCAGCAGUAGGGAAUCUUCCGCAAUGGACGAAAGUCUGACGGAGCAACGCCGCGUGAGUGAUGAAGGCUUUCGGGUCGUAAAACUCUGUUGUUAGGGAAGAACAAGUGCUAGUUGAAUAAGCUGGCACCUUGACGGUACCUAACCAGAAAGCCACGGCUAACUACGUGCCAGCCGCCGCAGUAA
RNAcentral lists this ribosomal RNA (515 nucleotides) under uncultured bacterium. Its description in RNAcentral is "partial 16S ribosomal RNA". It matches the Rfam family "Bacterial small subunit ribosomal RNA", at positions 28 to 523 of the family's 1533-position model. The record is from RNAcentral.